Molecule: transfer-messenger RNA, 402 nt
Filed under: Bacteroidales bacterium
Lineage: Bacteria; Pseudomonadati; Bacteroidota; Bacteroidia; Bacteroidales
Rfam family: transfer-messenger RNA
About the family: Bacterial tmRNA, also known as 10Sa RNA or SsrA, is named for its dual tRNA and mRNA-like properties. Its role is to liberate the mRNA from a stalled ribosome.
Source: RNAcentral
GGGCUUGGUUUGGUUUUGACAGCAGGUAAAAUGGAUAAGCAAGCAUGCAGACACAAGCAAUAAAUGUCUUAAAACAAGGUUGCAAAAAAAAUUAAUUGGCGAAUCAAAUUACGCUUUUGCUGCUUAAUUGAAGUUUUUUAGUAAAUUGAGCUUAGUUCAUAUCAAGGAUAUGGAGCAAAACGUUCCUCUAAGACCCAUUCUCUAUGGUUGAAGGUAAAGGGACGCACGCAAAAUAGAGAUAGUUUUAAGGGUGCUUCGACCUUAUUACAAAAUUUAAGAAGAUAAGAAAAGUAUUGGGUGUCUUUCUCCGCUGCUUUUACGAAAACAAAUGAAAGAAUAAGCAUGUAGAAACCUUAUUUGUUUCUUGUUUGGACCAGGGUUCGACUCCCUGCAGGUCCACAA